UCUGGCUCAGAUAUGAACGCUGGCGGCAUGCUUUACACAUGCAAGUCGGACGGCAGCACGGGUGCUUGCACCUGGAUGGCGAGUGGCGAACGGGUGAGUAAUAUAUUGGAACGUACCGAGUAGUGGGGGAUAACUAAGCGAAAGUUUGGCUAAUACCGCAUACGACCUGAGGGUGAAAGCGGGGGAUAGGAAACUGCCUCGCGCUAUUUGAGCGGCCAAUAUCUGAUUAGCUAGUUGGUGGGGUAAGGGCUUACCAAGGCGAUGAUCAGUAGCGGGUCUGAGAGGAUGAUCCGCCACACUGGGACUGAGAGACGGCCCANACUCCUACGGGAGGCANCAGUGGGGAAUUUUGGACAAUGGGGGCAACCCUGAUCCANNCCAUGCCACGUGUCUGAAGAAGGCCUUCGGGUUGUAAAGGACUUUUGUUAGGGAAGAAAACGGGAAGUGCUAAUAUCACUUUUUGCUGACGGUACCUAAAGAAUAAGCACCGGCUAACUACGUGCCAGCAGCCGCGGUAAUACGUAGGGUGCGAGCGUUAAUCGGAAUUACUGGGCGUAAAGCGAGCGCAGCACGGUUAUUUAAGUCAGAUGUGAAAUCCCCGAGCUUAACUUGGGAACUGCGUUUGAAACUGGGUAACUAGAGUAUGUCAGAGGGGGGUAGAAUUCCACGUGUAGCAGUGAAAUGCGUAGAGAUGUGGAGGAAUACCGAUGGCGAAGGCAGCCCCCUCGGAUAAUACUGACGUUCAUGCUCGAAAGCGUGGGUAGCACACAGGAUUAGAUACCCCGGGUAGUCCACGCCCUANACCGAUGUCAAUUANCCUGUUGGUGCACUANAUGCAUUAGUANGCGAAGCUAACCGCGUGAAAUUUGACCGCCCUGGGGGAGUACGGUCGCAANAUCAUAUCUCAUAGGAAUGGACGGGGCA
RNAcentral lists this ribosomal RNA (924 nucleotides) under uncultured Kingella sp. Its description in RNAcentral is "bacterial SSU rRNA". It matches the Rfam family "Bacterial small subunit ribosomal RNA", at positions 18 to 920 of the family's 1533-position model. Lineage: Bacteria; Pseudomonadati; Pseudomonadota; Betaproteobacteria; Neisseriales; Neisseriaceae. The record is from RNAcentral.